GGAAUAAGAAGGUGACGGGGAAACAGGUGGUUUAGAGAGGCACGGAGAAGGGCGAGAAGGAAGAAGCUUUUCUGGGCUCAUCUCUUGCUGGUGCUCUGAGUCUGAGCAGGGCUCUACCGAUGGGAAGGAAAAGGACACCCAAGCUUCCCAAACGCAGGGGGUUUUGUUAAUUACAUGAUAACAUUUUCACUCUAAAUAAUAACAACGUUCACUAUCUCAGAAAUGUACAAUGUACAAAGUAAAUUCCUUUCACCCGCUCUUGCAAGCUACUAGUCCUUUCCUCAAAGCAUCGUCAGACCUUUUCCAACGUAUUUACAGACUUACACAUAAAUAAUCCGGCUCUGUGACGCUUUCUACAUAGAUGGGAUCUUACUAUACUUAUCCAUUUCGCAACUUGCUUUUUCUGCUUCACUGAUUUCAACUGCUUUCCCAGAAACGCAAACCGAGAGCUCCCCCGCCCCAAUUCCAACGGUCUGUUGGCGCGUCCCUCGGACCGCGGCUCCUCCCGAGCGGCUGGAGGCUGGGAGCGUGUCCACAGCCCAGCUCGCGCCCCAGCGCCCGCGCGCCCGCCCCACCCGCCCGGCGCGCGCGCUCCUUACGGGACAGGAGGGACGGUUGGUGUUUGUGCCAACCGUCCGGGGGCACGAGCCACGCCCGGUUACCAACAUGACAUGCAGCAAUGGGAAGAGAAGAGCAAAUCGGCUCAUGGAGCACUGCAGAUCAGCUCCAGCCCACCACUGGGGGGUUUCCUCUUAACACUAUACCUACUCUCCACAGGGAAUUGA
This 785-nucleotide long non-coding RNA is filed under the name Capra hircus (goat). RNAcentral describes it as "lncRNA (ENSCHIG00000003826.1)". Lineage: Eukaryota; Metazoa; Chordata; Mammalia; Artiodactyla; Bovidae. The record is from RNAcentral.